RNAcentral lists this ribosomal RNA (253 nucleotides) under uncultured bacterium. Its description in RNAcentral is "partial 16S ribosomal RNA". It matches the Rfam family "Bacterial small subunit ribosomal RNA", at positions 524 to 776 of the family's 1533-position model. The record is from RNAcentral.
UACGUAGGGACCAAGCGUUGUUCGGAUUUACUGGGCGUAAAGGGCGCGUAGGCGGCGUGGUAAGUCACUUGUGAAAUCUCUGAGCUUAACUCAGAACGGUCAAGUGAUACUGCUGUGCUAGAGUGCGGAAGGGGCAAUCGGAAUUCUUGGUGUAGCGGUGAAAUGCGUAGAUAUCAAGAGGAACACCUGAGGUGAAGACGGGUUGCUGGGCCGACACUGACGCUGAUGCGCGAAAGCUAGGGGAGCGAACGGG